RNAcentral lists this ribosomal RNA (2790 nucleotides) under Salmonella enterica subsp. enterica serovar Enteritidis. RNAcentral's name for it is "partial 23S ribosomal RNA". It matches the Rfam family "Bacterial large subunit ribosomal RNA". Lineage: Bacteria; Pseudomonadati; Pseudomonadota; Gammaproteobacteria; Enterobacterales; Enterobacteriaceae. The record is from RNAcentral.
GGGUUGUGAGGUUAAGCGACUAAGCGUACACGGUGGAUGCCCUGGCAGUCAGAGGCGAUGAAGGGCGUGCUAAUCUGCGAUAAGCGCCGGUAAGGUGAUAUGAACCGUUAUAACCGGCGAUACCCGAAUGGGGAAACCCAGUGUGAUUCGUCACACUAUCAUUAACUGAAUCCAUAGGUUAAUGAGGCGAACCGGGGGAACUGAAACAUCUAAGUACCCCGAGGAAAAGAAAUCAACCGAGAUUCCCCCAGUAGCGGCGAGCGAACGGGGAGGAGCCCAGAGCCUGAAUCAGCAUGUGUGUUAGUGGAAGCGUCUGGAAAGGCGCGCGAUACAGGGUGACAGCCCCGUACACAAAAGCGCAUGUGCUGUGAGCUCGAUGAGUAGGGCGGGACACGUGGUAUCCUGUCUGAAUAUGGGGGGACCAUCCUCCAAGGCUAAAUACUCCUGACUGACCGAUAGUGAACCAGUACCGUGAGGGAAAGGCGAAAAGAACCCCGGCGAGGGGAGUGAAAAAGAACCUGAAACCGUGUACGUACAAGCAGUGGGAGCACAGGUUUACCUGUGUGACUGCGUACCUUUUGUAUAAUGGGUCAGCGACUUAUAUUCUGUAGCAAGGUUAACCGAAUAGGGGAGCCGGAGGGAAACCGAGUCUUAAUUGGGCGUUAAGUUGCAGGGUAUAGACCCGAAACCCGGUGAUCUAGCCAUGGGCAGGUUGAAGGUUGGGUAACACUAACUGGAGGACCGAACCGACUAAUGUUGAAAAAUUAGCGGAUGACCUGUGGCUGGGGGUGAAAGGCCAAUCAAACCGGGAGAUAGCUGGUUCUCCCCGAAAGCUAUUUAGGUAGCGCCUCGUGAAUUCAUCUCCGGGGGUAGAGCACUGUUUCGGCUAGGGGGCCAUCCCGGCUUACCAACCCGAUGCAAACUGCGAAUACCGGAGAAUGUUAUCACGGGAGACACACGGCGGGUGCUAACGUCCGUCGUGAAGAGGGAAACAACCCAGACCGCCAGCUAAGGUCCCAAAGUCAUGGUUAAGUGGGAAACGAUGUGGGAAGGCCCAGACAGCCAGGAUGUUGGCUUAGAAGCAGCCAUCAUUUAAAGAAAGCGUAAUAGCUCACUGGUCGAGUCGGCCUGCGCGGAAGAUGUAACGGGGCUAAACCAUGCACCGAAGCUGCGGCAGCGACGCUUAUGCGUUGUUGGGUAGGGGAGCGUUCUGUAAGCCUGCGAAGGUGGCCUGUGAGGGUUGCUGGAGGUAUCAGAAGUGCGAAUGCUGACAUAAGUAACGAUAAAGCGGGUGAAAAGCCCGCUCGCCGGAAGACCAAGGGUUCCUGUCCAACGUUAAUCGGGGCAGGGUGAGUCGACCCCUAAGGCGAGGCCGAAAGGCGUAGUCGAUGGGAAACGGGUUAAUAUUCCCGUACUUGGUGUUACUGCGAAGGGGGGACGGAGAAGGCUAUGUUGGCCGGGCGACGGUUGUCCCGGUUUAAGCGUGUAGGUGUGUGUUCCAGGUAAAUCCGGUUCACUUUAACACUGAGGCGUGAUGACGAGGCACUACGGUGCUGAAGCAACAAAUGCCCUGCUUCCAGGAAAAGCCUCUAAGCAUCAGGUAACAUCAAAUCGUACCCCAAACCGACACAGGUGGUCAGGUAGAGAAUACCAAGGCGCUUGAGAGAACUCGGGUGAAGGAACUAGGCAAAAUGGUGCCGUAACUUCGGGAGAAGGCACGCUGACACGUAGGUGAAGUGAUUUACUCAUGGAGCUGAAGUCAGUCGAAGAUACCAGCUGGCUGCAACUGUUUAUUAAAAACACAGCACUGUGCAAACACGAAAGUGGACGUAUACGGUGUGACGCCUGCCCGGUGCCGGAAGGUUAAUUGAUGGGGUCAGCGCAAGCGAAGCUCCUGAUCGAAGCCCCGGUAAACGGCGGCCGUAACUAUAACGGUCCUAAGGUAGCGAAAUUCCUUGUCGGGUAAGUUCCGACCUGCACGAAUGGCGUAAUGAUGGCCAGGCUGUCUCCACCCGAGACUCAGUGAAAUUGAACUCGCUGUGAAGAUGCAGUGUACCCGCGGCAAGACGGAAAGACCCCGUGAACCUUUACUAUAGCUUGACACUGAACAUUGAGCCUUGAUGUGUAGGAUAGGUGGGAGGCUUUGAAGUGUGGACGCCAGUCUGCAUGGAGCCGACCUUGAAAUACCACCCUUUAAUGUUUGAUGUUCUAACGUGGACCCGUAAUCCGGGUUGCGGACAGUGUCUGGUGGGUAGUUUGACUGGGGCGGUCUCCUCCUAAAGAGUAACGGAGGAGCACGAAGGUUGGCUAAUCCUGGUCGGACAUCAGGAGGUUAGUGCAAUGGCAUAAGCCAGCUUGACUGCGAGCGUGACGGCGCGAGCAGGUGCGAAAGCAGGUCAUAGUGAUCCGGUGGUUCUGAAUGGAAGGGCCAUCGCUCAACGGAUAAAAGGUACUCCGGGGAUAACAGGCUGAUACCGCCCAAGAGUUCAUAUCGACGGCGGUGUUUGGCACCUCGAUGUCGGCUCAUCACAUCCUGGGGCUGAAGUAGGUCCCAAGGGUAUGGCUGUUCGCCAUUUAAAGUGGUACGCGAGCUGGGUUUAGAACGUCGUGAGACAGUUCGGUCCCUAUCUGCCGUGGGCGCUGGAGAACUGAGGGGGGCUGCUCCUAGUACGAGAGGACCGGAGUGGACGCAUCACUGGUGUUCGGGUUGUCAUGCCAAUGGCACUGCCCGGUAGCUAAAUGCGGAAGAGAUAAGUGCUGAAAGCAUCUAAGCACGAAACUUGCCCCGAG